GACGAACGCUGGCGGCGUGCUUAACACAUGCAAGUCGAACGAUGAAGCCGGAGCUUGCUCUGGUGAAUUAGUGGCGAACGGGUGAGUAACACGUGAGUAACCUGCCCUUGACUCUGGGAUAACUGCGGGAAACUGUAGCUAAUACCGGAUACGACCCUCGGAGGCAUCUCCUGGGGGUGGAAAGAAUUUCGGUCAAGGAUGGACUCGCGGCCUAUCAGCUAGUUGGUGAGGUAAAGGCUCACCAAGGCGACGACGGGUAGCCGGCCUGAGAGGGGGACCGGCCACACUGGGACUGGGACACGGCCCAGACUCCUACGGGAGGCAGCAGUGGGGAAUAUUGCACAAUGGGCGCAAGCCUGAUGCAGCGACGCCGCGUGAGGGAUGACGGCCUUCGGGUUGUAAACCUCUUUCAGCACCGACGAAGCGCAAGUGACGGUAGGUGCAGAAGAAGGACCGGCCAACUACGUGCCAGCCGCCGCCGUAA
This 484-nucleotide ribosomal RNA is filed under the name uncultured bacterium. RNAcentral describes it as "partial 16S ribosomal RNA". It matches the Rfam family "Bacterial small subunit ribosomal RNA", at positions 28 to 523 of the family's 1533-position model. The record is from RNAcentral.